This 439-nucleotide ribosomal RNA is filed under the name uncultured bacterium. RNAcentral's name for it is "partial 16S ribosomal RNA". It matches the Rfam family "Bacterial small subunit ribosomal RNA", at positions 342 to 795 of the family's 1533-position model. The record is from RNAcentral.
CGGGAUGCAGCACCAGUGAGGAAUAUUGCACAAUGGGGGGAACCCUGAUGCAGCAACGCCGCGUGGAGGAUGACGCAUUUCGGUGUGUAAACUCCUUUUAUAUGUCAAGAAAAUGACGGUAGCAUAUGAAUAAGCACCGGCUAACUCCGUGCCAGCAGCCGCGGUAAUACGGAGGGUGCAAGCGUUACUCGGAAUCACUGGGCGUAAAGGACGCGUAGGCGGGUUGGAAAGUCAGGUGUGAAAUCCUACAGCUUAACUGUAGAACUGCACUUGAAACUUCUAAUCUAGAGUAUGGGAGGGGGAGAUGGAAUUAGUGGUGUAGGGGUAAAAUCCGUAGAUAUCACUAGGAAUACCUAAAGCGAAGGCGAUCUCCUGGAACAUUACUGACGCUAAGGCGUGAAAGCGUGGGGAGCAAACAGGAUUAGAUACCCGCGUAGUC